Mustela putorius furo (domestic ferret) is the source of this 330-nucleotide non-coding RNA. The record is from Rfam. Lineage: Eukaryota; Metazoa; Chordata; Mammalia; Carnivora; Mustelidae.
GGAUGUGAGGGCGAUCUGGCUGUGACAUCUAUCACCCCGUUGAUCAGCAGGGUUGAUUGGGCUGAUGUGGCUGGCUGGGCUGUGUUCCUUUCCUCCCUCACUGCUGCAUGUGUGUCCCUAUUGAAGCUGCCUGUUUGGUUGAAGAGGACCACCUUCCUCAGUAGAGGAAGACCAUUCUUUUGUCAAGGGUAUGUGAGUAGCUGCGCUCCCCUGCUAGAACUUUCAAACAAGCUCUCAGGGUCCAUUUGUAGGAGAAUAUAGGGUAGUCAAGCUUCCAAGACUCCCGACACAUCCAAGUGAGGCAUUGAACUUGGCAGUCUGCCUUUCUAA